CCCUUAGAUGUUCUGGGCCGCACGCGCGCUACACUGAUGCAUUCAACGAGCCUAUCCUUGACCGACAGGUCCGGGUAAUCUUUGAAUCUGCAUCGUGACGGGGAUAGAUUAUUGCAAUUAUUAAUCUUCAACGAGGAAUGCCUAGUAGGCGCAAGUCAUCAGCUUGCGUCGAUUACGUCCCUGCCCUUUGUACACACCGCCCGUCGCUCCUACCGAUUGGGUGUGCUGGUGAAAUGUUCGGAUCGGCCGUUUGUCGCGGUUUCCGCGGCUCGUGGCUGAGAAGUUCAUUAAACCCUCCCACCGAGAGGAAGGAGAAGUCGUACA
This 324-nucleotide ribosomal RNA is filed under the name uncultured eukaryote. Its description in RNAcentral is "partial 18S ribosomal RNA". It matches the Rfam family "Eukaryotic small subunit ribosomal RNA", at positions 1470 to 1796 of the family's 1831-position model. The record is from RNAcentral.